AUGCUGCGUUGGGUUUGGCGGAUCUUGCGGGGAGAUGGGGGUUUGUGGUUGCAGCUGAUUGAGUCCAAGUACUUGCAGGGACAACCCCUCCUGGCUUGCGCUCACUCGGCUGGGUCCCAGUUCUGGAAAUUUAUUCAGGCCAUCAAGGAAGAGAUUAGGAUGGGUUUGCGUUUCUCAGUUGGCAAUGGGUAUGGGACCCAGUUUUGGUUGGACGCCUGGCUGGAGGGCGAGCCUCUCCGCUUGCGGUUCCCGAGGCUCUUUGUGAAUAGUGACGACCCGACCAUCCUUGUUUCUGCGGCUGCUUUGGAUGAGGGAUGGAACAUUGCGUUCUGCCGCACAUUCGGACCAGGUGAGGUAUGGGAAUGGACAGACCUGAGGGAAGUAGUCCCUCUUCCUCUAUCCCAGGACCCUCACACUGUUUCUUGGAGCCUUUCUCCUUCGGGUGAAAUAUCUGUUAGUUCAGCCUACCAGGCUUUAUGUCGUGUGCCGGUUCUACAGUGGCUAUCCCUACUGUGGAAGGCACCGAUGCCCUUGAAGAUUAAUAUCUUCAUAUGGCAGCUUCUACGAGAUCGUCUCCCUUCGGGGACCGAGGUGCUGAAACGCCAUGGUCCAUUUUGUUUUCUUGCGUAG
Molecule: ribosomal RNA, 630 nt
Filed under: Triticum aestivum (bread wheat)
Lineage: Eukaryota; Viridiplantae; Streptophyta; Magnoliopsida; Poales; Poaceae
Description: partial small subunit ribosomal RNA
Source: RNAcentral